Arachis stenosperma is the source of this 987-nucleotide long non-coding RNA. RefSeq lists it as uncharacterized. The record is from RefSeq and is a predicted model, not a curated record. The transcript is spliced from 7 exons. NCBI's taxonomy places the organism in Eukaryota, Viridiplantae, Streptophyta, Magnoliopsida, Fabales, Fabaceae.
AUUCCUUUUAUAUUAUUCAAACAAUAUUUAUGGUUGAAUUUGAAUUUUUUGCAUAUGGUCACAUCAUCAGAAGUGGGAUGAUCACCGUGCAAUCAUGGCUGUUGGUGUGGUUGAUGGAAGUUCCGAAUCCAUUUUCCAUACUCUUAUGUCACUUGGUCCUUCAAGAUCAGCAAGGGAUUUCUGUUUCUACAAAGGCAGUGUGGUUAAGCACGUAGAUGGUCACACUGACAUCAUUCACAAAGAGCUGUAUAGGGAUUGGUUGCCUUGAUUUAUUUUCAUAAGAAUUAUCAGAAGUUGGAUUGAACUACUUUAUCUGCUUGUGGAUGGAGUGGCAUACCCUUGAUAUCAUCACUUCCUCUUGAUUGGUUGUAGCUGUCGUCCAGCCUCCGCAAUAUCUGUAGAGAAUGAAAAAGUUCUUUUGGCAAUGGCAUAUAGCUCGCUGUUCAAUAGAGUGCAGUUCUUAGCAGAUUCUUGAGCUAAUUUUCUCUUUAUGUCUGUGUCUGUCUCUUCAAUUUCCUUGUCUAUAAUUCAAGGAAAAUGAAGUGCACACUAGCUUCACGCAUUGAUAUAAUUAGUACAAGAGAAAGCACAGAAAUAGGGGACAGCAAGCUGAAUAUGACUUUAAAGGGGGUGCACAGGUGCAAAUUCUAUGUGCAGAACCAGAUUCACAAAAGGCACCAAUUGACAAUGAUUUAUCAGAUAGUGAAAUGAAUUCAAAAGAUACAAAGGAAAUGGUCCCAGUCCGACAUUCAGGAAGAAUUACAAGAAAAUCAUAUAAGGAAAAAGUCCAUGCCCUGUAGUUGUUGACAUUGAUAAUGAGGAUACUAUAGAAGUGGAUCAAGUUCGAGAGGAAAAUAAAGAGCAUGCUUCAGGCUUAAAAUCUAAGAAAGUUUCUCGAUCUGCUUCAGCCAUUGCAAAUAAUGAAGUUGUGUCUAGUAACAAUGCAAAUAAUAUUCUUUUGGAAGAUUUGAAGCUUUUUGCUCACAA